UUAUAGGCUUUUUUCAAGGCCAUUUUUUUUUUCCAGAGGAAAAUAU
Non-coding RNA from Gallus gallus (chicken), 46 nucleotides. The record is from Rfam. NCBI's taxonomy places the organism in Eukaryota, Metazoa, Chordata, Aves, Galliformes, Phasianidae.